RNAcentral lists this transfer RNA (63 nucleotides) under Lissoclinum patella. Its description in RNAcentral is "tRNA-Ala". The record is from RNAcentral. Lineage: Eukaryota; Metazoa; Chordata; Ascidiacea; Aplousobranchia; Didemnidae.
UGGAAUUUUAUUUUAAAUAAAAAUAUAGUUUUUGCUUGACUAGGAUUAUCUUUAAAAUUCCAU